AACGAACGCUGGCGGCAUGCCUAACACAUGCAAGUCGAACGAGACCUUCGGGUCUAGUGGCGCACGGGUGCGUAACGCGUGGGAACCUGCCCUUAGGUUCGGAAUAACUCCCGAAAGGGGUGCUAAUACCGGAUAAUGUCUUCGGACCAAAGAUUUAUCGCCUUUGGAUGGGCCCGCGUUGGAUUAGCUAGUUGGUAGGGUAAAAGCCUACCAAGGCGACGAUCCAUAGCUGGUCUGAGAGGAGGAUCAGCCACACUGGGACUGAGACACGGCCCAGACUCCUACGGGAGGCAGCAGUGGGGAAUAUUGGACAAUGGGCGAAAGCCUGAUCCAGCAAUGCCGCGUGAGUGAUGAAGGCCUUAGGGUUGUAAAGCUCUUUUACCCGGGAUGAUAAUGACAGUACCGGGAGAAUAAGCUCCGGCUAACUCCGUG
This 432-nucleotide ribosomal RNA is filed under the name uncultured bacterium. RNAcentral's name for it is "partial 16S ribosomal RNA". It matches the Rfam family "Bacterial small subunit ribosomal RNA", at positions 29 to 507 of the family's 1533-position model. The record is from RNAcentral.